Molecule: small nucleolar RNA, 89 nt
Filed under: Leersia perrieri
Lineage: Eukaryota; Viridiplantae; Streptophyta; Magnoliopsida; Poales; Poaceae
Description: Small nucleolar RNA R24
Rfam family: Small nucleolar RNA R24
About the family: snoR24 is a C/D box small nucleolar RNA which acts as a methylation guide for 18S ribosomal RNA in plants.
Source: Rfam by way of RNAcentral
AUUGCUGACGGGCCUUAGCACACAAGGCCAACCGAUUGGUUGGUUCUGUGAUGUAAUAUAUUCCCUUUUAUGCUUGGCUUCUGAGCUGA